Molecule: long non-coding RNA, 284 nt
Filed under: Mytilus galloprovincialis (Mediterranean mussel)
Lineage: Eukaryota; Metazoa; Mollusca; Bivalvia; Mytilida; Mytilidae
Source: RNAcentral
CAAAGUUGAACAGCAUCGAGGACCAAAAGAUCAAAAAGGUUGUGCCAAAAACGGCAAGGGUUUUCUGUUAAGUUACCAGAAAAUCCCUAUAAUUUAGAGUAAUUUAUACUUUUGCAAACAGUAAAUUUAAUAAAAUGAAUAUUCAAAAGAUGUACAUGAUAAAGCUGAAGUAUUAACUAAUUACAGGAAACAACAUUACUGAAAUACAUUUACAUAACCAGACAUUUGAAACACAAAAGUAGACACAUCCGAAUACGUUUAAACCUCUACGCCAAGUGACGUCC